RNAcentral lists this long non-coding RNA (455 nucleotides) under Musa acuminata (dwarf banana). RNAcentral's name for it is "long non-coding RNA (MACU_LNC006440)". Lineage: Eukaryota; Viridiplantae; Streptophyta; Magnoliopsida; Zingiberales; Musaceae. The record is from RNAcentral.
CUCUGUCGGGCGAGAAGAAGGCCAGUAUCACACUAUUGAAGAAUCCUCUGAAACUUUGCCAUCAGAAUGCUUUGCGGUUAGCAAUUUUCAUGUCAACUCAAAUCAGGGACUCAGUGGUCUGCAGUUAGAAUGAGUAAUCUUAUCUUGGUCACCAGUUAGAAUGAGUAAUCUUAUCUUUGUCAGUUUUAUUCUCUUGCUCCCAUUUGUAAGGAAUGAUGUGUUGGCUUAAUUGGCUCAAAUAUCUGAUCGAGAUCAGGUUUGGGUGGAAGUUCUUUCGGAAACCCUUUCACAUCUCCUUGAUAACAUUUGACAGAGGGCAGAUGUUAUGGUAAGGUUUUUCUUUUACGAUCUGGUGAUCAGAGCUCGAAUCACAUGCAUUGAUGUUUGGCGGAGUUCAAACCACAUACAUUGAUGCUUAAUUGCCACAUUAGCCAUAAUGGAACAUUUGAUUCAGG